Long non-coding RNA from Ochlerotatus camptorhynchus, 6216 nucleotides. RefSeq lists it as uncharacterized. The transcript has 5 exons. The record is from RefSeq and is a predicted model, not a curated record. NCBI's taxonomy places the organism in Eukaryota, Metazoa, Arthropoda, Insecta, Diptera, Culicidae.
UCGUUGUAUUUUAGCGAGUAGAUCAGCUUAAUAAAUCGGUCUCCAGUGAACCAAAGUUGUGCAUCAGUAACUCUGAAAAAAGAGGCUUCAAAAGAUUUUCUUUUCGAUGGUUAGUUUCGAUAUUUUGACAGCCAAGAAGAACAAUACUUUGAGGUAGAAGUGACAAUAUUUAUCUGGAAUUGAUAUAAGUUUUCAAACUGAGAAUACAAUACUGAAGGAUCAUCCCAUCGGAAAUUGAAUAAAUCAAUUAAUUUUGCAGUUUGAGGAACAUCAUCUUUCUUAUAGCUGGUUCCGCUUCGAAACCAUUAGAAGGUAAUCACGCCUGGUUUGGUAGAUUCAGACGAGCGGGACAACAAAGGCAGUACCAAAAGUGCCUGUGUCGCAGACGGCAUUGUAUAGUUUGCCUGAUCAGCAGGCAUAUAACCGAGAGGAGACUCUUUCUUCUCUGGCAUAAGUACAAUCUCUCUGCAAAACCAGAAUUGAUUUCCUGAGCGGGUUCCAGUUGGACGACUAGUUACAUACAAAAAAUCAAUGUCCAUCACAGAUUUUAUUUCAUAUUCCUCUAACAACUUCUAUCGUACGUGCGGAACACAUUUAUACAAUGUUACGCUUCAUUCUGUCCAUCAUUAUCUGUUUGAGGAUCAUCGGAGUCACCACUUCUGUCAUCAUCUUUCCUCUCAUCACCACCAUAGAGACGAAACAUCCUAUAGUCAACGAGACAAUGUAUGCCGCAUAUCCGAACCUCUGGCUGUUGGAUAUGAGCAACCAAACGAGAUUUGAAUUCCCAGUUGACCAGGUUCUGCUGAUACACGACUACCUCACACGUUAUGUAUGCAACAAUUGUGGGAUACAUUCCAUCUACCAGAUAUCCUUGUCGCAGCUACCAGAACUUACUUAUCUUAUUGUAAAUAAUAACACCCUCCAGUACAUACAUCCAGAUGCAUUCGAGUACAAUACGCUAUUGGAAAAGGUCAGUUUUGUUGGCAACCAACUUUCCACAUUCAAUCCGGAAGCCACAAUUCGGCACAUGGCUGCGCUAAACAUACUGUAUCUAAGCAGCAACGAGCAAUUUGAUUUGAACAAGGUGGACCUGCAAUCUCCAAGAUUGAUGAUAUUCAUUUGCAAUUACUGCCACACUACCUUUCUCGUUCAGGAAACACUGACCAACAUGCCAAGACUUUCCGUGCUGUAUCUGUCGUACAACGUAAUAGACAGGAUCGACGAUGAUGCUUUGAUGCCGGCUAAAAAAAUUACGAGGUUGACAAUCAACGGUAAUAAACCCUUGCAACGAUUGAAUCUUACAUCGAAAUCACUGAAAGUGCUCAAUGCUGCAGAAUGUAGUUUGCAUGGCACGCUGGAUACAUCUCACUUACCGAUGCUGGAAUCUGUCAACGUGAGAAAUAAUAGGAUUGCUCGGAUAAAUGAGGAUGGAUUUCAGCAGAAUCCAGAUAUAAAAAUUAUCUUGCUGGACGAUAAUUCAAUCGAAAAGGUCCCCACAAUACUACUAGGACUUCCUAUGAACAGGUUGGAGCAGCUAUGCAUGGACAGGAAUCCACUUCAACCGUGUGAUCAAACUGAUUAUGCAAAGGAGCUGUACGAAAUAAGAGGACUCCGCCGAAGUUGUUUGGAUGAUAGUAAUCCUUUGUAUGAGUUUGAAAACUAUCUACCGAUUAAUACUGGAAAAGCGGUAUAUAAGAAAACUCCCAUCCAUCUUCGUAGUAGUGAUGGAUUAACAGUAGACCUUUCGAAUAGAGAAAUUGUAUACAUAGAACCAGAUUACCUAGUAGAUGAUAGAAAUGUGACGAAUGUUUUAUUUGACGAUAACCGUUCGUUUGAGUUUCAACAGGAUACGAUAUUUCUUAAAAGUUCUUCUGUUGAACUAAUAUCUUUAAAGAAUUGUUCAAUCACAACAUUAUACGAGGCUACAUUCAAAGAACUACCAAAUCUAAAAACCCUGCAUCUGCAGGGCAACCAAGUUCAAUCCAUUCAUUCCCAUUUAUUGUUCAAAAAUAACCCAACCUUAACAUUUCUGAGCCUCUCACACAACAAUCUUGAAUUGAUCGUUGCAAAUGCAUUCCAAACCCAUUCCCAGUUAGAAAUCCUUAACUUAGACUGGAACGAUCGUCUAUCAAACAGCGCCCAUGGUCCGUUCCUUCUGAGCACAUCACUAAGGAAGCUCAGCUGCACACACUGCCGGUUUGUACGGCUUGACAAUAUGGCCCUGACAGGAUUACCAAAUCUGAUAGAACUAAACCUAGAACACAAUCAUAUAGAACUAUUGGAAGCUGAUGCCCUUCGGUGGACCACUGAACUAAAGUACCUUAAUCUACGACAUAACCGGCUGGUGGUUUUUAAACCGAACGUCAACCAGCUAAACCAUAUGAAGACACUUUGUCUAGCUGGUAAUCCACAGUUUGACUUGGAACAAUUGCUGUUGCAUGACAUUCCGAAGAUUAAGCAGCUGAACAAAGAUUGCCAAGACGAACAAUUUUCCAACAACUUGGUCGAACGGUACAAAUUAAUAAAAGAAGCAAAACAUGGAACCAUGGAGUUGCUACAAAAUAAACUUGUACCAUUAAUGUACGUUGAAACAUCAUCUACCGUGUCUUUAACGGCAGAUGUGAGUAUUAUUUUACUGAUGGCCUGUAGCUUGGUCACUUAUCAAGUAUUAUUUUUUAGUCAUAAUUUGUUUUGUCAUCUAUUUUUGAAUUUCAAUAAUACACACUUAGAAAAACUCAUGUAAAUUUAGGUGCUCUGAGAGUGACGAAUACGAGCGUCAAUUUUGACCUAAAUUUGCGGCAUAAAUGAUAUUUGUAUUUGUAAUGGCGAACGUUAUAGUUUAUUUCACAGUGCUGUGAUACAUUGGAUAAAUUAAGUGUGAAAUUGUUCUUGUGCCGCGGUAGAAUUAAUCCUACGCGUGCCCCGUAGUGAUAAUUUAUUGGGUAAGAAGGAGAACGGUUGCUGCUGCCGCUGGUUCUCGUUCAAUUUGUGUUUUUUUCCUUCGCCCGGCAAGCUAUUGGUACCGUUUAGCAAGCUACGGCAUUGUAAAUUUCUGCUUUCUUUCGUGUUUACUUGUGUCUCUGUAGUGUUGCAUGUAAAGUUUAUGUGUAUAGGUUAUAUAUACACGGGAAAUAAUCCGAUUCCAUUUUCAUGAAUAAAAAAUCAUGAAAUCCAAAAUUUUGCCAUCCCAUGAAAUCAUAGCAAUAAUUCAUAAUUUCGUUAUGGAAAUAUGGCUGAGUGUGCAAUGUGUAAUUUGGGGAUUUUGGUAAGUAAUUUGCCGUUUUUCAAGAAAAUGCGAGUUUUGCGGAUGUUUUAAAAAGACAUAGUCGUGCAAGUAAAAGUAAAAAUAUUAGUAACAGUAACAGUAACAAACAGAUUAAUCGUAAGACUCGUCCGGUCAUUGUGUUAAACCAAAAGAGUCCAAACAAGCUUGGGAAGAUACUCGUAAGUUUUUGAAAACACAGUUAGAUCCAAAAACACACAAAAUUAGUAAUUACAGGAAUGGUAAAGAUGGCUCCAUGAUUGUUGAGUGUGCAACAGGAGCUAAUCUAAAUUAUGUGAAAAUAGUAUUGAAAGCAAUCUUGGUGAAAAAUAUAGUGCUGUUGUUCCCACAUCGGUGCCAAGAUUGAAAAUAGUAGGCAUGAGCGAUCAGUUUUCCUCCGAUGUCUUCAUUGACUACUUAAAAAGUCAAAAUGAAGACAUCGCUAUUAAUGAUUUAAAAGUAGAACAUGUUUGAAAAUCAACGUUUCACUUAAAACAAGUUUAGUGUUUUAAUUGAAGUCAUAUAGUCGAUACGUAUAAAUGUUUGUUAUUUGCGAAACAAGUAAAUGUUGGUGUCGUGACUGAACCGGUGCUCGAUAGUGCCAGCGAUUAAUGUGUUGAGAUGCUUCAAAUGUGGAGAAUUUUGGCACAAGAGCAUGGAUUGCAAAAAAAUUGUGAUAGAUGCUCUAGGUGCAGCCAACAACACAAAACGUCGGAGUGUACGUCAACUGUAUUGAAAUGUAUUAAUUGUUUGAAAAUGAAUUAAAAACGCAAAAUGAACUUGGACGUCAACCAUGCCGCAUUUAGCUCGGAAUGUUUGCUCUAUAAACGACUUUUUGAUCAGAAGAAAAGCAGCUUGCGUUUCAAUAAAUAGCAGCCAAGGAAUGUGAAUCAAUUCGAUUUUUUGUAUUUGAAUAUUACGGUAUCGUCAACAAACUACGUGGCAUUACGUCAGAUUGUUGAGGAAAAACGUCCUCUUUAAGUUUUCUUAUCUGAAACUCACAUUGUAGAAACUGAAGCUUUUGAUCAAUAUAGUAUUCCGGGAUAUAUUGUUGCUGCUUGUUUAUCACAUUCUAGACACACUGGCGGUGUUGCUAUUUAUGUCAAAGAAUCAGUUCAAUUCAGCCUUCGUACCAACGAAGUUAUUGAUGGCAACUGGUGCUUGGGCAUUACAUUUGUACGUGGCAUGAAGAUGGGUAAUUAUGGUGUUUUGUAUCAUUCUCCCAGUUUUAGUGACCCAGCGUUUUGUUGAAGUUUUAGAGAACUGGCUCGAGACAUUCCUUGAUUCUAGUAAAUUAAAUAUACUGGCUGUUGAUUUAAAUAUUAAUUGGCGUGAAAACCAUAAUUCGAAUCAUUUGAAGCGUUUAGCUAAGUUUUUUUUUUUUUAUUUAAAGCAAACGGUAAAUGAAUAUUCGCGUAUUUCCAGGCACAGUAGAUCUUUAAUUGACCACGUUUAUUCCAAUUUUGAUUCCAUUUGUUCAGUUACGGAUACUGAUUUGAAAAUAACCGAUCAUGAGACCUUAGUGAUUAAUGUAUAAGAUAAUAUAAAUAACAACGAUGAUUUUUUUUUCUUCUGUUCGGGACAUAAAACUACUGCGACCAGAAAAUUUGAUCUAUUGUAGUAUAUCCCGUGUCCUUAGUUUAGUGCAUGCCGUAUUACUUCAUCACUAUUUAGAAAUGAUGAAGUAUUCGGUUUUGAAACAGUUGUCAUUCUUACCUUUAUUACAAGGAAUCGAUUCUAAUUGAAAGGUCCUACCAUUGAUACCCUUGGGAGUAUUGGUACACCCUCCAAAGGCGCGCCUCUUUGUCAGUCAAAAUUGGAUUCCUUAGCAACAAAAUUAAAGAAUGACACCGAUAGUGACCAUGCAUAAGAACCCUAGUCAACGAUGAAUUAGUCAAAUUGAAGUGCUGGAGGAAAUAUUCGAAACAGGCUAUUUCGAAUCUCGUUGAGAAGAGCGUGGAUUUUCCAUUCGCGGCCGGUACAAAAAGUUUUGUAGAUCUAAUAAUGACAAUCAUUGGAAUAUGUACACAAUCGCGCGUAAUAAGUAUUCACAAUCGAUAAAGAAAACUCGCUGUGAAUAUGUUCAAAGGAAGACUGAUCAGCAUCAAAACAACUUGGGAGAACACAAGAUGACACUAACUUCUAAAUCCUCAAAUCUAUCCGUUUUAAAAACACAUAAAUUAAAUUCAAAUAGUCAAGGUCUCGGCUCGCCAAGACAUCUCUAACGGGUAUCGCGGGUUGUUUUCCUCGGGCCCUGAGGGAUGUGGAUAACUCAGAUCUGGCAACACGGUGUAAGGUACACGACCAAACAACAUGCUCGAUAUCGUGAUAACCACUGCCACACGCACAUAAAUUGCUGUCUGAGAGCCCAAUUCGAUAGAAGUGCGAGUCUAACGAGCAGUGAUUGGACAUAAGCCUUGAUAUAACGCGUAUAAAGUCGCGGCUCAUGUCCAACCCUUUGAACCAUGGUUUGUUCGACACCUGUGGGAGAAUAGAAUGUAACCAUCUUCCCAAUUCACCAUCAUUCCAUUUUUGUUGCCAACUGAUGUGGACUUGCUGGCGAGCAAUGGAGAAAAAUUCGUUGAAGGCGAUUUGUCGAUCAAAAAUAUCGCCUUCCAUAGCGCCCACCUUAGCUAGCGAGUCCGCUUUCUCAUUACCCGGAAUUGAGCAAUGAGAUGGGACCCAAACUAAGGUGAUAGUAUAGGAGCAGUUAGAUAAAGCACUCAGUUUAGAUCGUAUUUCAGGCAGGAAAUACGAGGAGUGCUUCAUCGGCCUCAUUGAACGAAUAGCCUCCAAUGAGCUAAGACUAUCCGUGAAAAUGAAAUAAUGGUCAGAAGGUAGUGAGGCAAUUCGCUCUACUGCGUAAAAUAUAGCUGCGAGUUCCGCAAGGUAUACGGAGCAUGGUUUCUGCAGUUUAUAGGAGGCGCUAUGAAAUUGAUUAAAUACACCAAAUC